AUCCUGCUGCACGUGAUAAGAUAAGAUAAGCCUUAAUUGUCGCCUAUAGGAGAAAUUUGUCUCGAGCAUUCAAGA
Molecule: long non-coding RNA, 75 nt
Organism: Etheostoma spectabile (orangethroat darter)
Lineage: Eukaryota; Metazoa; Chordata; Actinopteri; Perciformes; Percidae
Exons: 3
Source: RefSeq, a predicted model, not a curated record